This is a long non-coding RNA of Gambusia affinis (western mosquitofish), 650 nucleotides long. RefSeq lists it as uncharacterized. The transcript is spliced from 4 exons. NCBI's taxonomy places the organism in Eukaryota, Metazoa, Chordata, Actinopteri, Cyprinodontiformes, Poeciliidae. The record is from RefSeq and is a predicted model, not a curated record.
UACUCGACACACGCCUCGAAGCCUCGGCUCAUCACGUAACAUCACUAAUUAGUUGCAUGUGUACAGAAUGUUCUGUAUGCUUUAGGGCAAUAAUUUCGGUCUCCUGUCAGCUGUUAGCUCAGUGCACAAGCUAAUAUCACCCAAUACAAACAUAUUGUGGAAUUGCUUGGUCACUCUUAAAGUUGGACAGCAGAGCAUUUGAGGAGACGGAGAGAGCCGGAUGAGACGAUGGAAACGUUAAAGGUUUUCCUGCUGAUCUCAGCUCUUGGUGUUGCCGUGGUUUCAUCACAGCUAUAUGAAGAUUUUUGGACUGAUUUGGAUUAUCCCAAUUAUUAUGAAUACAAUUACACAUACAUUUGGAACACAUCGGUCUCUGUUUUCUCUUCAGCUGCCAAACAUUCACCACAGAGAGGAGCUGUUGUCACUAAAUAUAUGCUUCCUGUAAUCUUACAUUUGUGCCUGAAAGAUUGAAAAUAAUGAUAAUAAAGCAGAACAACAGACCAUUUGUACAAGCUUUGUUUAACUGUAACCCUGCAGAAGAGGUGUUAAGUAAGAUAAACAAAUAGUGUUAAAAUAAACCAAAUAAUGUAAUUUCUGCUCCAUUAUGCAACAAUGUAAUAAACUUUAAAUAAACAAUGUGGUCUAAAACA